CUUACAUAUUUCCUCCUUCCCUUUUACAAGAUAACCCUAAGGGUUCUAAGGGUUGCAAAAGGAUGAAGGGUUGCAGAAGGAUGAAGGUCCGUCUCCUGCAAUUUUUUCAUGCUGAAUAGGGUCUAUGAUAUUCCUGCCUAACUAUUGGGGUCUCUUGUAUUUAGGGUAGAGAGGAGCUCAAUCAGAAAGCAUUAGUCCGUUAAGCAUCGGUUGUACCUCUGAGUUCCAGCAAAAGGUAAAACUCUGGCGCUCCAGCAGUUUCUCAGCUUCCUGUGUGGUUUCCUUGAUCUGUCCCCAUGGUACCUGUUAGUUCCUGCAAGUUCCUGCAAGUCUCUGUCUGUCCCUACCUAUCUCUCUUUCCUUAUCUCUAUUUCCUUAUCUCUACUUAUUUCUUAUUGUCCCUGCAGGCCUCUUCAGGUCCCUUCAGGUCUCUGUCCCUGAUAGUUCCUUUAAGUUUCUGCUAGUCUUUGCUAGUCUCUACUUUUGUAUCUCUUUAGGACACUGACCUUAUAUUGCUCUUAUAUUGCUAGUCUUUGCUAGUCUUUAUCCCUAUCUGUCCCUAUUUGUCCCUGUUCGGGCACCACUUGUGACUGACUGCCAUGGUUACUACUUGAGGCCAUCACUACAACAGUUACUACUGUUACUGCUUGAGACCAUCAUUAUGACUGAACAAAGGGAUAAACACAGAAAUGAUGACAAAAGAAACUAUUUAAAGGAAAGGCUAGCAUGGAGAAGAGGAAGAGAGCUCCCUGCUUCUAGUGAGCAAAGGCAGCCCCCCCUUGAGCUUCUACAGCCCUUCUUAUUAGGUAACAAGAGCAAGGAGGAGGAGAAAACCUAUGCCAACCAUGCUCAGAGGAGAUGUAAUGACAGAGAAAGCUUUAAAGAGAUGUUACAUUAUAAGGACUUGACCUCUGCUUUCUGGGACUGAAGACGGAGAAAUGAGGCGAUAAACCAAGGGAAUAUCAUGAGAAGAAUAGUUCUUGGCUAGCUUACUGGUCCCUGAAGAAGGAAAAAAGACAUGUGGAGCAUAGCUGAGAUCAGCCAAACCUCCUGUAAGAAAAUGCCCAGGAUUGCUUGUGUGUCCAAGAAAAAUGUAUUAAAUUAUUUUUCCUUACAAAGACAAUUCAUGAUCUUUACAAACGUAUUCUGUGAUUAAAGGUGUUAAAUGCACAAAAAUUUUGUCUAUUUUUCAUUUUUUAAAAACAGAAAAUGAAACAAAACUGACAUUUUAAAGGCCAUAAUACAGAUUUCAGAAACAAAUUUUAAGUGAAAACACAAGUGAAUAUUUUACUGAAUAAAAGUCUUAACGUGAAAUGAAGCUUUGUGAUAACCAAGGAUGAUAGCAUAGGAAACUCUGGUGUUCAUUUGUUGGGAUUAUGAAUGGAAAGGAAGAGAAAGGGACUUACUAGGUAGGCAUAUGAAGAGUUACCCUCAGAAAGAUAAAAGAGACCUAUUCAGUGUCUCCUAAUUUCUUCCUUUAUUUAUCUGUUCAGAAUCCAGUCUGCUUCGAGAUUCAAAGUCUUGCUGUUGAUGAUUAAUUUUCCUCCUCCAUGAAUUCUGUGUCUAUCCUUGCUAAUCAAAAUCUAGUUCAAGUUAGUAGAG
RNAcentral lists this long non-coding RNA (1602 nucleotides) under Papio anubis (olive baboon). RNAcentral describes it as "lncRNA (ENSPANG00000042792.1)". Lineage: Eukaryota; Metazoa; Chordata; Mammalia; Primates; Cercopithecidae. The record is from RNAcentral.